GGGUGGAAAAGAAACCAACAGGGAUUGCCCUAGUAACGGCGAGUGAAGCGGCAACAGCUCAAAUUUGAAAGCUAGCCUUCGGGUUCGCAUUGUAAUUUGUAGAGGAUGAUUUGGGGAAGCCGCCUGUCUAAGUUCCUUGGAACAGGACGUCAUAGAGGGUGAGAAUCCCGUAUGUGACAGGAAAUGGCACCCUAUGUAAAUCUCCUUCGACGAGUCGAGUUGUUUGGGAAUGCAGCUCUAAAUGGGAGGUAAAUUUCUUCUAAAGCUAAAUAUUGGCGAGAGACCGAUAGCGCACAAGUAGAGUGAUCGAAAGAUGAAAAGCACUUUGGAAAGAGAGUUAAAAAGCACGUGAAAUUGUUGAAAGGGAAGCGCUUGCAAUCAGACUUGUUUAAACUGUUCGGCCGGUCUUCUGACCGGUUUACUCAGUUUGGACAGGCCAGCAUCAGUUUCGGCGGCCGGAUAAAGGCUCUGGGAAUGUGGCCUCCACUUCGGUGGAGGUGUUAUAGCCCAGGGUGUAAUACGGCCAGCCGGGACUGAGGUCCGCGCUUCGGCUAGGAUGCUGGCGUAAUGGUUGUAAGCACCCGUCUGA
RNAcentral lists this ribosomal RNA (589 nucleotides) under Aureobasidium pullulans. Its description in RNAcentral is "partial large subunit ribosomal RNA". It matches the Rfam family "Eukaryotic large subunit ribosomal RNA", at positions 51 to 656 of the family's 3401-position model. The record is from RNAcentral. Lineage: Eukaryota; Fungi; Ascomycota; Dothideomycetes; Dothideales; Saccotheciaceae.